GAUGAACGCUGGCGGCGUGCUUAACACAUGCAAGUCGAACGAUGAAGCCCAGCUUGCUGGGUGGAUUAGUGGCGAACGGGUGAGUAACACGUGAGUAACCUGCCCUUAACUCUGGGAUAAGCCUGGGAAACUGGGUCUAAUACCGGAUAGGAGCGUCCACCGCAUGGUGGGUGUUGGAAAGAUUUAUCGGUUUUGGAUGGACUCGCGGCCUAUCAGCUUGUUGGUGAGGUAAUGGCUCACCAAGGCGACGACGGGUAGCCGGCCUGAGAGGGUGACCGGCCACACUGGGACUGAGACACGGCCCAGACUCCUACGGGAGGCAGCAGUGGGGAAUAUUGCACAAUGGGCGCAAGCCUGAUGCAGCGACGCCGCGUGAGGGAUGACGGCCUUCGGGUUGUAAACCUCUUUCAGUAGGGAAGAAGCGAAAGUGACGGUACCUGCAGAAGAAGCACCGGCUAACUACGUGCCAGCAGCCGCGGUAAUACGUAGGGUGCGAGCGUUAUCCGGAAUUAUUGGGCGUAAAGAGCUCGUAGCGGUUUGUCGCGUCUGUCGUGAAAGUCCGGGGCUUAACCCCGGAUCUGCGGUGGGUACGGGCAGACUAGAGUGCAGUAGGGGAGACUGGAAUUCCUGGUGUAGCGGUGGAAUGCGCAGAUAUCAGGAGGAACACCGAUGGCGAAGGCAGGUCUCUGGGCUGUAACUGACGCUGAGGAGCGAAAGCAUGGGGAGCGAACAGGAUUAGAUACCCUGGUAGUCCAUGCCGUAAACGUUGGGCACUAGGUGUGGGGACCAUUCCACGGUUUCCGCGCCGCAGCUAACGCAUUAAGUGCCCCGCCUGGGGAGUACGGCCGCAAGGCUAAAACUCAAAGGAAUUGACGGGGGCCCGCACAAGCGGCGGAGCAUGCGGAUUAAUUCGAUGCAACGCGAAGAACCUUACCAAGGCUUGACAUGUUCUCGAUCGCCGUAGAGAUACGGUUUCCCCUUUGGGGCGGGUUCGCAGGUGGUGCAUGGUUGUCGUCAGCUCGUGUCGUGAGAUGUUGGGUUAAGUCCCGCAACGAGCGCAACCCUCGUUCCAUGUUGCCAGCACGUAAUGGUGGGGACUCAUGGGAGACUGCCGGGGUCAACUCGGAGGAAGGUGAGGACGACGUCAAAUCAUCAUGCCCCUUAUGUCUUGGGCUUCACGCAUGCUACAAUGGCCGGUACAAUGGGUUGCGAUACUGUGAGGUGGAGCUAAUCCCAAAAAGCCGGUCUCAGUUCGGAUUGGGGUCUGCAACUCGACCCCAUGAAGUCGGAGUCGCUAGUAAUCGCAGAUCAGCAACGCUGCGGUGAAUACGUUCCCGGGCCU
Molecule: ribosomal RNA, 1342 nt
Filed under: uncultured bacterium
Lineage: Bacteria
Description: bacterial SSU rRNA
Rfam family: Bacterial small subunit ribosomal RNA
Source: RNAcentral